Molecule: ribosomal RNA, 497 nt
Filed under: uncultured bacterium
Lineage: Bacteria
Description: partial 16S ribosomal RNA
Rfam family: Bacterial small subunit ribosomal RNA
Source: RNAcentral
GAUGAACGCUGGCGGCGUGCCUAAUACAUGCAAGUCGAGCGAACAGACGAGGAGCUUGCUCCUCUGACGUUAGCGGCGGACGGGUGAGUAACACGUGGAUAACCUCCCUAUAAGACUGGGAUAACUUCGGGAAACCGGAGCUAAUACCGGAUAAUAUAUUGAACCGCAUGGUUCAAUAGCGAAAGACGGUUUUGCUGUCACUUAUAGAUGGAUCCGCGCCGCAUUAGCUAGUUGGUAAGGUAACGGGUUUCCACGGCAACGAUGCGUAGGCGAGCGGAGAGGGUGAUCGGCCACACGAGAGCGGGGACACGGUCCAUGCUCUUACGGGAGGCAGCAGUAGGGAAUCUUCCGCAAUGGGCGAAAGCCUGACGGAGCAGCGGCGCGUGAGUGAUAGAGGCCUUCGGAUCGUAAAACUCUGUUAUUAGGGAAGAACAAAUGUGGAAGUAACUAUGCACGGCUUGACGGUACCUGAUCAGAAAGCCACGGCUAACUACGUG